CAAUAGCGUAUAUUAAAGUUGUUGCAGUUAAAAAGCUCGUAGUUGGAUUUCUGGUUGAAGCGACCGGUCGGGCGUUGAUUCGUCUGCACUGGAGUCGGUUUUGGCCAUCCUCUAGGAAAGUGCGUCUGGUAUUAAGUUAUCGGGCGUAUGAUCCUGGUCUUUUACUGUGACAAAAUUAGAGUGUUUAAAGCAGGCCUUCGCCUUGAAUACAUUAGCAUGGAAUAAUAAGAUAGGACUUUGGUCUAUUUUGUUGGUUUGCAGACCGAAGUAAUGAUUAAUAGGGAUAGUUGGGGGUAUUUAUAUUCCGAUGUCAGAGGUGAAAUUCUUAGAUUUUCGGAAGAUAAACUUAUGCGAAAGCAUUUACCAAGGAUGUUUUCAUUAA
This 382-nucleotide ribosomal RNA is filed under the name uncultured eukaryote. Its description in RNAcentral is "partial 18S ribosomal RNA". It matches the Rfam family "Eukaryotic small subunit ribosomal RNA", at positions 592 to 976 of the family's 1831-position model. The record is from RNAcentral.